RNAcentral lists this ribosomal RNA (468 nucleotides) under uncultured bacterium. RNAcentral's name for it is "bacterial SSU rRNA". It matches the Rfam family "Bacterial small subunit ribosomal RNA", at positions 329 to 793 of the family's 1533-position model. The record is from RNAcentral.
UGCCAGACUCCUACGGGAGGCAGCAGUGAGGAAUAUUGGGCAAUGGGCGCGAGCCUGAACCAGCCAAGUCGCGUGAGGGAUGACGGCCCUACGGGUUGUAAACCUCUUUUGUCGGGGAGCAAAUUCCGCCACGUGUGGCGGAGUCGAGAGUACCCGAAGAAAAAGCAUCGGCUAACUCCGUGCCAGCAGCCGCGGUAAUACGGAGGAUGCGAGCGUUAUCCGGAUUUACUGGGUGUAAAGGGAGCGUAGGCGGUUUAGCAAGUCAGAAGUGAAAGCCCGGGGCUCAACUCCGGGACUGCUUUUGAAACUGAGUAGCUAGAGUGCAGGAGAGGUAAGCGGAAUUCCUAGUGUAGCGGUGAAAUGCGUAGAUAUUAGGAGGAACACCAGUGGCGAAGGCGGCUUACUGGACUGUAACUGACGUUGAGGCUCGAAAGCGUGGGGAGCAAACAGGAUUAGAUACCCCAGUAA